AAAGAAGAAAGAAAGGGAUCCUGAACUCUAUCAUCGCAUGGUGGCUGCUGUCCAAGUUGCCAAGGGAUGCACCUGCUGAUAACAUGAUAGUCUAAAUAUCUUGAUGUGCAUAGCAACAAAUGAAUCAUAGAAUACCACCAAGAUGAUCAUCUUGCUUCUAAAGGCAGAAGGGCUUUGAACCUCUAGCUGGUAAGUUGUAGUUUCCAUGUGUAAUUUCAGUAGGUGAUAGCACAGUAACAUAGGGAACGUUUA
Molecule: long non-coding RNA, 252 nt
Filed under: Crocodylus porosus (Australian saltwater crocodile)
Lineage: Eukaryota; Metazoa; Chordata; Crocodylia; Crocodylidae
Description: lncRNA (ENSCPRG00005016534.1)
Source: RNAcentral